RNAcentral lists this unclassified non-coding RNA (351 nucleotides) under Hevea brasiliensis (rubber tree). Lineage: Eukaryota; Viridiplantae; Streptophyta; Magnoliopsida; Malpighiales; Euphorbiaceae. The record is from RNAcentral.
CUCGUUAGCAUAACUAUUAGCAUUAGAACAUUUGUCCAUUAAGUGAUAACGAAUUAAAGCUCAGGGAACAAACAAAAAUUUAACCGCAGGCCUCUGUGUAUCAAAACACAAAAUCUCAUGAUACUUCUUUGUUCUGUCCCUACUUUUUAUAUUUACUUGAUGUUAUUUUGCAUAUGGAUUGAUAUAACAUUGACUAUUAGUUAUGGUGUAUAAUUGUAUUAUAAUAUACUCAUUUAAAUUGAAAGCAACAAGAAAAGGACUAAGACAAGGGCUAGAUAGGCACUAUGACCGUUUCAAUUGAAAAUAACACCGAAGCAAUCAAGAGAAAAGAGAAUUUCACCAAAAAUAGAU